UUAAGCUCUCUAGCGCCGAUGGUAGUUGGGACCUUGUCCCUGUGAGAGUAGGACGUUGCCAGGCAAUCCGGAGGAUUAGCUCAGCUGGGAGAGCACCUGCCUUACAAGCAGGGGGUCGGCGGUUCGAUCCCGUCAUCCUCCACCAUUUAGCCGACUUAGCUCAAUUGGUAGAGCAACUGACUUGUAAUCAGUAGGUUGGGGGUUCAAGUCCUCUAGUCGGCACCAGUUUUUAUUGUAAGAGCCAUUAGCUCAGUUGGUAGAGCAUCUGACUUUUAAUCAGAGGGUCGAAGGUUCGAGUCCUUCAUGGCUCACCAUUUUAAUUAAUAUGCGGGUGUGGCGGAAUUGGCAGACGCACUAGACUUAGGAUCUAGCGCCUUUGGCGUGGGGGUUCGACUCCCUUCACCCGCACUUUUAAUAAAAUAUCUCAAACAUGUCUUGCGGAAGUAGUUCAGUGGUAGAAUACAACCUUGCCAAGGUUGGGGUCGCGGGUUCGAAUCCCGUCUUCCGCUCCAAUUUUCAAUAUGACAUGCCGGGGUGGCGGAACAGGCAGACGCACAGGACUUAAAAUCCUGCGGUGGGUGACCACCGUGCGGGUUCGACCCCCGCCCUCGGCACCAUAUGCGCCCGUAGCUCAAUUGGAUAGAGCGUUUGACUACGGAUCAAGAGGUUAGGGGUUCGACUCCUNAGCCCGUUAAUGGGUGAGAGCGUGCCUUUUGUAGAAUGAACCGGCGAGUUACGUUAUGAUGCGAGGUUAAGUUGAAGAGACGGAGCCGUAGGGAAACCGAGUCUGAAUAGGGCGCCUUAGUAUCAUGACGUAGACCCGAAACCAUGUGACCUACCCAUGAGCAGGUUGAAGGUGCGGUAAGACGCACUGGAGGACCGAACCAGGGCACGUUGAAAAGUGCUUGGAUGACUUGUGGGUAGCGGAGAAAUUCCAAACGAACUUGGAGAUAGCUGGUUCUCUCCGAAAUAGCUUUAGGGCUAGCGUCGACAUUAGAGAUUCUUGGAGGUAGAGCACUGUUUGGGUGAGGGGUCCAUCCCGGAUUACCAAUCUCAGAUAAACUCCGAAUGCCAAUGAAUUAUGGUCGGCAGUCAGACUGCGAGUGCUAAGAUCCGUAGUCGAAAGGGAAACAGCCCAGACCACCAGCUAAGGUCCCAAAAUAAUUGUUAAGUGGAAAAGGAUGUGGGGUUGCACAGACAACUAGGAUGUUAGCUUAGAAGCAGCUAUUCAUUCAAAGAGUGCGUAAUAGCUCACUAGUCGAGUGACCCUGCGCCGAAAAUGUACCGGGGCUAAAACAAUUUACCGAAGCUGUGGAUACCUUUAUAGGUAUGGUAGGAGAGCGUUCUAUGUGUGAUGAAGGUAUACCGUGAGGAGUGCUGGAACGCAUAGAAGUGAGAAUGCCGGUAUGAGUAGCGAAAGACAGGUGAGAAUCCUGUCCACCGUAAGACUAAGGUUUCCAGGGGAAGGCUCGUCCGCCCUGGGUUAGUCGGGACCUAAGGAGAGACCGAAAGGUGUAUCCGAUGGACAACAGGUUGAUAUUCCUGUACUAGAGUAUGUAGUGAUGGAGGGACGCAGUAGGCUAACUAAAGCAGACGAUUGGAAGAGUCUGUCUAAGCAGUGAGGUGUGAAUUGAGUCAAAUGCUUAAUUCUAUAACAUUGAGCUGUGAUGGGGAGCGAAGUUUAGUAGCGAAGUUAGUGACGUCACACUGCCAAGAAAAGCUUCUAGCGUUUAAACAUACUCUACCCGUACCGCAAACCGACACAGGUAGUCGAGGCGAGUAGCCUCAGGUGAGCGAGAGAACUCUCGUUAAGGAACUCGGCAAAAUGACCCCGUAACUUCGGGAGAAGGGGUGCUGACUUAAAGUCAGCCGCAGUGAAUAGGCCCAAGCAACUGUUUAUCAAAAACACAGCUCUCUGCUAAAUCGUAAGAUGAUGUAUAGGGGGUGACGCCUGCCCGGUGCUGGAAGGUUAAGAGGAGUGCUUAGCGUAAGCGAAGGUAUGAAUUGAAGCCCCAGUAAACGGCGGCCGUAACUAUAACGGUCCUAAGGUAGCGAAAUUCCUUGUCGGGUAAGUUCCGACCCGCACGAAAGGCGUAAUGAUUUGGGCACUGUCUCAACGAGAGACUCGGUGAAAUUUUAGUACCUGUGAAGAUGCAGGUUACCCGCGACAGGACGGAAAGACCCCAUGGAGCUUUACUGCAGUUUGAUAUUGAGUGUCUGUACCACAUGUACAGGAUAGGUAGGAGUCUAAGAGAUCGGGACGCCAGUUUCGAAGGAGACGCUGUUGGGAUACUACCCUUGUGUUAUGGCCACUCUAACCCAGAUAGGUGAUCCCUAUCGGAGACAGUGUCUGACGGGCAGUUUGACUGGGGCGGUCGCCUCCUAAAAGGUAACGGAGGCGCCCAAAGGUUCCCUCAGAAUGGUUGGAAAUCAUUCGCAGAGUGUAAAGGUAUAAGGGAGCUUGACUGCGAGAGCUACAACUCGAGCAGGGACGAAAGUCGGGCUUAGUGAUCCGGUGGUUCCGUAUGGAAGGGCCAUCGCUCAACGGAUAAAAGCUACCCUGGGGAUAACAGGCUUAUCUCCCCCAAGAGUCCACAUCGACGGGGAGGUUUGGCACCUCGAUGUCGGCUCAUCGCAUCCUGGGGCUGUAGUCGGUCCCAAGGGUUGGGCUGUUCGCCCAUUAAAGCGGUACGCGAGCUGGGUUCAGAACGUCGUGAGACAGUUCGGUCCCUAUCCGUCGUGGGCGUAGGAAAUUUGAGAGGAGCUGUCCUUAGUACGAGAGGACCGGGAUGGACGCACCGCUGGUGUACCAGUUGUUCUGCCAAGGGCAUAGCUGGGUAGCUAUGUGCGGAAGGGAUAAGUGCUGAAAGCAUCUAAGCAUGAAGCCCCCCUCAAGAUGAGAUUUCCCAUAGCGUAAGCUAGUAAGAUCCCUGAAAGAUGAUCAGGUUGAUAGGUUCGAGGUGGAAGCAUGGUGACAUGUGGAGCUGACGAAUACUAAUAGAUCGAGGACUUAACCAU
RNAcentral lists this ribosomal RNA (3018 nucleotides) under Streptococcus pneumoniae. RNAcentral describes it as "bacterial LSU rRNA". The stretch from base 666 to 3018 matches the Rfam family "Bacterial large subunit ribosomal RNA". Lineage: Bacteria; Bacillati; Bacillota; Bacilli; Lactobacillales; Streptococcaceae. The record is from RNAcentral.